This 515-nucleotide ribosomal RNA is filed under the name uncultured bacterium. RNAcentral's name for it is "partial 16S ribosomal RNA". It matches the Rfam family "Bacterial small subunit ribosomal RNA", at positions 28 to 523 of the family's 1533-position model. The record is from RNAcentral.
GAUGAACGCUGGCGGCGUGCCUAAUACAUGCAAGUCGAGCGAAUGGAUUAAGAGCUUGCUCUUAUGAAGUUAGCGGCGGACGGGUGAGUAACACGUGGGUAACCUGCCCAUAAGACUGGGAUAACUCCGGGAAACCGGGGCUAAUACCGGAUAACAUUUUGAACCGCAUGGUUCGAAAUUGAAAGGCGGCUUCGGCUGUCACUUAUGGAUGGACCCGCGUCGCAUUAGCUAGUUGGUGAGGUAACGGCUCACCAAGGCAACGAUGCGUAGCCGACCGGAGAGGGUGAUCGGCCACACUGGGACUGAGACACGUCCCAGACUCGUACGGGAGGCAGCAGUAGGGAAUCUUCCGCAAUGGACGAAAGUCUGACGGAGCAACGCCGCGUGAGUGAUGAAGGCUUUCGGGUCGUAAAACGCUGUUGUUAGGGAAGAACAAGUGCUAGUUGAAUAAGCUGGCACCUUGACGGUACCUAACCAGAAAGCCACGGCUAACUACGUGCCAGCAGCCGCGGUAA